Molecule: ribosomal RNA, 494 nt
Filed under: Clostridioides difficile
Lineage: Bacteria; Bacillati; Bacillota; Clostridia; Peptostreptococcales; Peptostreptococcaceae
Description: bacterial LSU rRNA
Rfam family: Bacterial large subunit ribosomal RNA
Source: RNAcentral
UGGUCAAGUUAUUAAGGGUGCAGGGCGGAUGCCUUGGCACUAGGAGCCGAUGAAGGACGUGAUAAGCUGCGAUAAGCUUCGGGGAGUUGCACGUAAACUUUGAUCCGAAGAUUUCCGAAUGAGGAAACUCACUUAGAGUAAUGUCUAAGUAUCAUUAAGUGAAUACAUAGCUUAAUGAGGGGAACUCAGGGAACUGAAACAUCUAAGUACCUGAAGGAAGAGAAAGAAAGUCGAUUCCGUAAGUCGCGGCGAGCGAACGCGGAUUAGCCCAAACCAAUAAAGUUUUCUUUAUUGGGGUUGCGGACAUAUCAUAACGAAGAGGUAUCGUAAUUGAAGAGGUUUGGAAAGACCCACCACAGAAGGUAAUAGUCCUGUAUGUUAAACGAGAAGACUUUAGAUAUGAUCCAGAGUACCACGGGACACGUGAAACCCUGUGGGAAGCAGGAGGGACCACCCUCCAAGGCUAAAUACUACCUAGUGACCGAUAGCGUAUA